Lolium rigidum is the source of this 2026-nucleotide RNA transcript. RefSeq lists it as uncharacterized. The transcript is spliced from 6 exons. The record is from RefSeq and is a predicted model, not a curated record. Lineage: Eukaryota; Viridiplantae; Streptophyta; Magnoliopsida; Poales; Poaceae.
CAAGCGCAUCAUCAGAAAUUCGGGCCCGAUGUGCUCAGUGCCUCAGUGGAGGAGAAGGAGGAGGUGCUCGUGGAGGAGUGGAAGACGUGCGUGUUCGCCAUCACCUUGGGCAUGCCGGUUGCCCUGCUGCUGCUGGUCAACAUGUGCUGGAGGGCCAUUACCGCCGCCCUCGCGCUCGUCCUCCUCGACUUCAAGAAUGUCCGAUCAUGCCUCGAGAACAUAACUAACCAAUUGCUUCUGCUUCAGGUCUCAUACCCACUGCUGCGGGGUGUUCAUCACCGUCGAUGGCUUCAGUAAGACCAGCACUCCCAGCACAUUCUGGGAGUUCAUGCCUUCAUGGAGCCCUAUGCGCGCAUCAACACGCUGACCGGGUAGUCAUCCUUUUGUUGGGGAUCCUUUUCCUCUCUAGCGUGGCGUCGGAUAUCCCUACUGUCCUACUACUCGGUGCGCGGGUGGCAGCCUCGGCAGUGCGAUCUCCCCCCAGAGUGGAGACCAACAUGUGGCUGCUCCUGGCCUGGGUGAGCUCGGUGGCUGGCAGCCUCUCACUUCUGGGCUCGGCGGCCAACCUAAUCCCGGGUCGAGGUAAUUUGCAACUGCCCUUCUCUUGUGUUAUUGCUGAAAACUUGUGCAUGUUUUAAGAUCACCCUGUUUCGAUUGCUGAAUAUUAUUACUUUGAAUCCAACAAUUCAUGUUUCGAUUUUUUUCUAUGGGGAAAUGAAACACUAUUUAAUUUGGGGCUGGGUCCUACAGAUACCAUUCAUGUAGGAUUAAGAGUUUCCACUUCUACAAUUUUUCAUACUGAUUCCUACAUUUUUGGAUCUUACAAAUUGAGUAUGUCCUCAGUAGAAGAAAAUAAACACUACAUGACCUAUUUAGAAAUAUGUCUAAUGGUUCCUCUUAGUUUUUGACUACCUCUCACGCACAUAUAUAUCCCUCUACCAAAGCAGACAGUGUGUCCAGGUCACAAGGGCAAUAUAGAAACUUUAGUUAAUUAUGUUUAGAAGCGAGAUCAUCGAUGGAAGAUCCUUGUGUGCAUCAUGGGCAUCUAGGAAUAUAAAGAUUUAGAAAUCUGUAUGAACUGGAUUUCAUCAUGGUCGACCGCGAGGUGCAGUACCGAACACACAUUUUCAUACUACAUGUGUAGUUAACACUUAUUGUUGCACAACAUUGGGUAUUGAUUUAUUUUUGCUGAAACCUAAGAUAUAACUCCCACAGAGUUCAUUAAUUACCAGACAAUGAGCUAUUGGUUAGCUUAUUUGUUUCCUCCAAACAAUGUGUUGAUUUUUUCCUCCCAAUCAUUGCAUUUUCAUGGCUUGGUCUAUGAGGCGUCCGCUGCAGGCAUGUGUCCAUUGAGUACAUUUAUAUUGUUCAAUGGCUGUGGUUUUUUGGGCAAACUUUCACUAACGCAGCAGAAGUUAAGGUCUGCCCCAGCUUCCAUGACCUGCAAGCUCCGCCCACUAAUUAUCAGCUAUCUGCAGAAUUCAACAAGGCAGAGAAUCAGAGAGAAAAUGAUGGUUGUUGAAUGUACAAUUGAUUGGCCUUGAAGCUCUGUGGAGCAGUGCCAACCCCUCAUGGUUUUGUUUUUGGAACGAAGCACGCUGCAGAUUAGGAAGUCCCACUCUUUUUUAGGCCAGCAGUGAUUGCAUAGAACUUUUCUCUGAGAAACCCAAGCAAACUUCCCUUAGUUUGUGCCUCUUGGUUUUCCUUUUUUUUUUGUGACCUACAACUGAACUAGAGGACUUGAAUUGGGUCAGAGGUAGAGCAUGAAGGUGAUGUUACAGAAGUUGGAUGAACACGAUAAGGUUAAGUCCCAUGCUUAAUUUAGCUUCCUUUUCUUGGUAGCAUGGUCGAGUGUUAUCACAUUAUCCACCAAAAUUUGAUCUUUGAGUUUUAUAAUCUUUUGAUCAUACAAAGUGCAAUUAGAUUCAUGUAAUGUAAAAAGUGGAAAGAGAUACAAAUUUGUUUCUACAUUGGAUAUCCUAUUUGGGCUGGUCUUUUAGGUUGAAUUUAUUUCAUAAGUACUAAA